Non-coding RNA from Micropterus salmoides (largemouth bass), 850 nucleotides. Lineage: Eukaryota; Metazoa; Chordata; Actinopteri; Centrarchiformes; Centrarchidae. The record is from the annotation of a RefSeq genome assembly.
AUGAUGAUGUCACUGAUUCUACUGCUGGCCACCCUGGGGCUCCUUGUUCAGGGUUCAUCAGGACAAAACGUCCUGACUCAGUCUCCUGGAUCUCAGUCUGCUGUUCCAGGACAGGUUGUCUCUCUCAAAAGUAAAGCCACUAGUAGUACUAGCUUCCUGCACUGGUACCUUCAGAAACCUGGAGAAGCUCCUAAACUCCUGAUUUAUCAAAUUACAAACCGUCAGUCUGGAGUUCCAGAUCGUUUUAGUGGAAGUGGAUCUGGGACUGACUUCACUCUGACCAUCAGUGGAGUUCAGGCUGAAGAUUCAGGAGCUUACUACUGUCAGCAGGGUUGCAGCCUCCCGUUCACACAGUGAUACAACGUCGUACAAAAACCUCCCUCAGCUGGAGAGGAACUGAUCUGACUCAACAGCUGCACUGAAACUAAACAUUUGAAACUUCUUCAUGAGACAUGAUCACACUUCUACAGUUUACUUAAACUCCAAUUUAAAGCAAAGUUUCAAUCAGGAAAAAAACUGUUUUAUAAGGACAUGACACAAAAACACUAAAUCUUUUAUUCUGGAGAAAAUGUUUCAUCUUUGACUGAUUUGUUAAAGCUACCUGUUUUUUCAAUCUCACUGAGAAUACUGCAUUAGUCAAGAAGAAAUCAACAAUUCUAAAGCAGAAACUUGAAACUGAAGGAUACAUAGUUGGAAACAUACUGAGUCUUUGAACACAUUCAAGAAAUACCAAAAAAUCUGCAUGUAAAACACUUUGAAAUAUUCAUGUACUCUUUAACCCAAAACAUUUGACAUUAUUGAUGAAGCUAAGAAAUACAGUAUCCACUUUAUUAGGUACAGCUGUAUUACA